GUAUUUGUGACAGCUGCGGUCGGGAGGUGGCGCCCGCAGAGCCCAGGCCUCCUUCCACCUCCUUGCAAGGCUGGGCUGAUACAGGCGUCUUUGGGCCUGGCUCUCACUACCCACCCUCCUCCAGGGGCCAGAAGGCGCUCGGGCCAUCAGACCUCCCGUUCGGAAACAUGCAAAAUGCACAGGUUUCCUUACUUACCAUGAAGCCUCUGAGGAUGAUUACUUCUGGAAAAGGCCCUCCCUGAGCACUAGAAUAUGUGAUCCUUUAAGCACAGACUAUUGCAGCAGUGAGAAGUCUGACUGCUCCUGACUGCUGCGGGGUCCUCCCUCCACCCUCCCUCUCUUUCUUCUUCCUUCCUUUUUAAAAAAAAAAAAAAAAAAUUAGCAACAGAACCUUUCCUUCAGAGGCACCUUCUUUAGAACCUCAAUAUAUAUAACAGAUAAAAACGGCACAGCUCUAGCUAGAGCGCGACUGAGGAUGCAGAGCCUCUCGCCUUCUCCACCCACCCUUCCAUCGGAUCCCCUCUGGGGCACCUUUUGGAGAUCUACGGAGCACAGUGUGCAAAACAUUGAUUGUCGUCUUUUCUUUUUUUCAGGAAACAAAAUGGAAGGCCAGGAAGCUUUCAGCAAUUGCUUAAGAAAAUGACUCAACUGAGAAGCAACAGUCUUCAGAGUGGAGCCAAUGCUGUGUUUGCCGUGGUAGAAGCAGUCUCCCAGAGUUUGAAGAGGUAGACAUCAAUUACAGCAUCAGUUAAUUACAGCUCAGUUACAGACCAUAGCAGAAGAGAGUAGUUGCACUCUCAAACAGGAAGUGCAACUACUUUAAUGCUCCAGCAAAAGAAAGGAAGAUUUCCUUCUUGCCCAGCAACAAGCCCAGCCAAUGGAAAAUGCUGCAGCUUAGCCAAUGAGAAGUUGUUGUCACCUGAACUUUUAUUUUCCUCUAAUGGACUUUCAUUGUUUCCCUGCUGAUAUCUUCCUUUCCUUGUCCUGGUCUCCU
RNAcentral lists this long non-coding RNA (994 nucleotides) under Equus asinus (donkey). RNAcentral's name for it is "lncRNA (ENSEASG00005032914.1)". The record is from RNAcentral. Lineage: Eukaryota; Metazoa; Chordata; Mammalia; Perissodactyla; Equidae.